RNAcentral lists this long non-coding RNA (217 nucleotides) under Mytilus galloprovincialis (Mediterranean mussel). Lineage: Eukaryota; Metazoa; Mollusca; Bivalvia; Mytilida; Mytilidae. The record is from RNAcentral.
AAAGUCUUGCUGAUUGCUGAAUAAAACUACAAUAGGGAACAAUUUGACAAUGAUUGAAUUUAGUAGUGUCAGCCCUUUGAUUAUGACCCGUGUAUAUAGCAAAAUCCUAACUUCAUACACCGUUUGGUGGUGCGCCUGUCAAAUGCGGAACGUACAGAUAAGGUAAUAGCUAACAGGUGAAUAUACUAUUGGUAUCGGUAUCGGAUUUGACCCGGAA